Molecule: ribosomal RNA, 602 nt
Filed under: Micrococcus luteus
Lineage: Bacteria; Bacillati; Actinomycetota; Actinomycetes; Micrococcales; Micrococcaceae
Description: bacterial SSU rRNA
Rfam family: Bacterial small subunit ribosomal RNA
Source: RNAcentral
UGGCUCAGGGAUGAACGCUGGCGGCGUGCUUAACACAUGCAAGUCGAACGAUGAAGCCCAGCUUGCUGGGUGGAUUAGUGGCGAACGGGUGAGUAACACGUGAGUAACCUGCCCUUAACUCUGGGAUAAGCCUGGGAAACUAGGUCUAAUACCGGAUAGGAGCGCCUACCGCAUGGUGGGUGUUGGAAAGAUUUAUCGGUUUUGGAUGGACUCGCGGCCUAUCAGCUUGUUGGUGAGGUAAUGGCUCACCAAGGCGACGACGGGUAGCCGGCCUGAGAGGGUGACCGGCCACACUGGGACUGAGACACGGCCCAGACUCCUACGGGAGGCAGCAGUGGGGAAUAUUGCACAAUGGGCGAAAGCCUGAUGCAGCGACGCCGCGUGAGGGAUGACGGCCUUCGGGUUGUAAACCUCUUUCAGUAGGGAAGAAGCGAAAGUGACGGUACCUGCAGAAGAAGCACCGGCUAACUACGUGCCAGCAGCCGCGGUAAUACGUAGGGUGCGAGCGUUAUCCGGAAUUAUUGGGCGUAAAGAGGUAGUAGGCGGUUUGUCGCGUCUGUCGUGAAAGUCCGGGGCUUAACCCCGGAUCUGCGGUGGGUACG